Molecule: ribosomal RNA, 454 nt
Filed under: uncultured bacterium
Lineage: Bacteria
Description: bacterial SSU rRNA
Rfam family: Bacterial small subunit ribosomal RNA
Source: RNAcentral
AAGUCGAACGGUAACAGGGAGCUUGCUCCGCUGACGAGUGGCGAACGGGUGAGUAAUGCAUCGGAACGUACCGUGUAAUGGGGGAUAACGUAGCGAAAGUUACGCUAAUACCGCAUACGCCCUGAGGGGGAAAGUGGGGGGACCGCAAGGCCUUGCGCUCUUUGAGCGGCCGAUGUCAGAUUAGCUAGUUGGUGAGGUAACGGCUUACCAAGGCGACGAUCUGUAGCGGGUCUGAGAGGAUGGUCCGCCACACUGGAACUGAGACACGGCCCAGACUCCUACGGGAGGCAGCAGUGGGGAAUUUUGGACAAUGGGCGCAAGCCUGAUCCAGCCAUGCCGCGUGAGUGAGGAAGGCCUUCGGGUUGUAAAGCUCUUUCGGUGGGGAAGAAAUGGCACGGGUUAAUACCCUGUGUUGAUGACGGUACCCGCAUAAGAAGCACCGGCUAACUACGUG